RNAcentral lists this ribosomal RNA (263 nucleotides) under uncultured Acinetobacter sp. Its description in RNAcentral is "partial 16S ribosomal RNA". It matches the Rfam family "Bacterial small subunit ribosomal RNA", at positions 505 to 768 of the family's 1533-position model. Lineage: Bacteria; Pseudomonadati; Pseudomonadota; Gammaproteobacteria; Moraxellales; Moraxellaceae. The record is from RNAcentral.
GUGCCAGCCGCCGCGGUAAUACAGAGGGUGCAAGCGUUAAUCGGAUUUACUGGGCGUAAAGCGCGCGUAGGCGGCUAAUUAAGUCAAAUGUGAAAUCCCCGAGCUUAACUUGGGAAUUGCAUUCGAUACUGGUUAGCUAGAGUGUGGGAGAGGAUGGUAGAAUUCCAGGCGUAGCGGUGAAAUGCGUAGAGAUCUGGAGGAAUACCGAUGGCGAAGGCAGCCAUCUGGCCUAACACUGACGCUGAGUGCGAAAGCAGUGGGGA